This 7409-nucleotide unclassified non-coding RNA is filed under the name Venturia canescens. RNAcentral describes it as "protein Jumonji, transcript variant X1". The record is from RNAcentral. Lineage: Eukaryota; Metazoa; Arthropoda; Insecta; Hymenoptera; Ichneumonidae.
CGACGACGACGACGACGGCUUAGUCUCUCAAAACAACCAACCAGCUUGCGCUUUGGAGAGUUUUUUAUGAAACGCUGUCGCGUUUUUUUCCGCCGCCGCACUAAUUAGAGAUAGUAGGAAAGUCAUCAAAUCGAUAUUUCUAUAGUUGCAAGGAUCAGGAGAGGGGAGGAUCAGCGGCGUUGUUCACUCGGCCAUUGUCCUUCGUACUACAGUGAUUUCCGCGAACGCGAACUCGAAAAAGGAGACGUACGAACGGGAGGUGUACAGCGGCAGAGGAGCACGAUGAAGGGGUGGCAUUUCAUUUUCGAUUGACCCAUAACAAUUGUCGAAUUGUUUAUAACAUUCUUGGAAAUUAGAAAGAAACUAUUUCUAAAACGUUUUUAUUUUUUUUCUUUUUCCAAUAAUUUUCCUAAUUAUCUUUCAUUCCGCUGCUGGUUCUUUUUUUGCAUCAAAUUUUCCAGUAAUAUAUGUUAUUUGCAUAUAUAUAAUCGAGUUUGUGUAUAUAGUAUAAUUUUAUUUCGGUGGCUCAUCGACGUCUCCCGUAGUAGGAGGUUUCUCGAACGCAGUGAAAAAAAAACGUGUGAUCGACAUGAAAUAUGCGUCCUGCAUGAUAAAUAAAAUGGGAUUCGUAUUCCAAUUUUUAUUUUAUUUUCCUUAAAGUGUGCAACGUUCAUGAUUUUUUCAAUUUAAUCAAUUGGAAAAUAAUAUCCGGCUGUUGAUACGGGGUCAAUUAAAUUGGCGUGUUUUUCUUCAAUAAUGGUAUUGGGGAGAAAUGACAAGAGAAAAAGGAAAGAAGGGGAUCUCGUGGAUCUUAUGGAUCCACUGUCCGAGUCACCAAAAAGGACUAAAGUGCACGCGCAGAGAAAAUUUGCUCAAGGAGCAGCAACCGUUUUUAGCCCAACUCCUUCAUUGGUCAAAGAAAAGGAAAAAACAAAAUCAGCGGUUGUCACCGAAUUGAUAACGCACAAGCGACCAAAUACCGAAGAUUUUCUCACCUUCCUAUGCUUUCGGGGAACAUCUAUAUUACCGCCAAGUUUGAAUUUCUUCAACGUUGGAUCUCGAAAAGAUAGAACAGAGGGUAAAAGCGGUGGCUCUGCCAAAACUGGAACGAAAACAUCGUCUACGUCGUCCGCUUCGGGGAGCGGCUGCGUGAUUUUAGGAAAAGGAGAACCGGGCGGAAGUAUACGGAGCAAAGGCGCAACAAAGAGUUCGACAACGAUGAAGAAAAAAGUGGUAGGAAACGUGGCAUCGACGACGCUGAGCAAAUAUAAAAACGCAACUUCAACGGUGCAGGCAUUAAAGAAAAAAUACCAAGAGCAACGUUUGGCGAAACAACGAAUAAAGAACAAAUUCAAAGCAUCGUGUGUAAUGACAACUCGCUCAUCGACCGAUCGUACAUUGCACAAAAGUCUUCCAAAAAUACAACCUAGAAAAUUUGUACCCAGAACCGAAAAAAAAAGACGAGAUGGUUUGCGAAGCGGUGGAUUCGUUGACAAGUCGAAAAAAGUAAUUAUUCCGAGGAGCAAGGUUACGAGAAAUUUGACCCCAAAGAGAAAAAAAAGACCAAGCAUAAAGGAAGAAUCGAGCGAGUCCGAAGAUUCGGAAACGACUACGUCCCACGAUGAGGAGGAAUCGCGAGCGAAGAAUUCAACGCUGAUUCGAAAAACAGGAACAAUUACGAAACCAAUCCAGAAGAAAAUAUGCACGAGAAGUAAAUCGGAAAUGAGAAGAAUUACGAGAUCUCAAAGAGAAAGUUCGACGACCAAGCAAACCGGUAUGUCGAGAAGACCAACGAGAAAAACGAAAGAAGCAGCUGCCGUUUAUAUGGAAAUAUUAGGUCGAAAACUGGUAAGUCCAGAGCUUGAAAAUGAGGAUAAUAUUUCAGUGGACAGUUUUCCCGAGUUGCCGAAUGCCCGACGCACCGCACAAGCGGAAAAUGAAAUAAGAGCGAAAACUAAUAAAGCGGUGGCGGCGGGAUCGGGAACAACGGUUAAGAGCGUUAAAGAGACUAAGCAAAAGGAUUCAAACAAUGAGGAAAAUAUAGCGAGCAGAACGAGAACUAAACCGGAAAAGGAUCGGAUUUCGAAGAGCAAAAGGACACUUCGAGUCAGAAGAUAUUGCGAAUUGGACAGUGAAGACGAUUCAGAAAGUUCGAUAGAGCCGGAAAAGCCGAAACAGCAGUCGACGCCACGUCGGCGGAGGCCGGCCAAAAUUGAACAACCCUCGCCUCGAAGUUUGCGUUCCUCUUCGCGGAAUCAAUCGGCGAAAGUUGAAAAAGUCAGUAUCAAGAGGACGAAAGAAAGAUUGGCCAAGCGUCCGAAAGCAGUGAUAAAAAAGUCGGUAGUAGAGCACGAGGGGAGAGAUGAUUCCGAAGGGGAAGAAUCAUUGGUGAAUUUAUUGAACAAAAUGAGCAAGAAGAGGGGGAACCUCGAAAAAGUUGCAAAAUCGGCUGGAAAAGUUGAUCCACAGAGGCAGCCAAUAGAGAAUAAUGAAACGAAAUUCGAGGUAUCGGAAAGUACGAGACAAAAAGAAACUCUGAUCGCAGCGUCACAAGUCUCCGACGACGAGGAAUCUUUUCGAGGUUUCACGAAAAAGGCGAUAUCAAAAGUCCUAAAUUCUUGCAAUUCUCACGCAAGUGCGAAUCUUUUGGCGAGCGAAGAAGCCUCGUGCAAUCUCGAGUCGAGCCAAGAAGAAUGUCCAAAAAUCGAAAUUGGCACGAAAUCGUCUGAUAAAUCGCUCGAAAAAUUAAUAAUCGAUGAUUCAUCACGAGACUUGGGUAUAUCGAGUGUAAAAUCGUUUCAAACGACUACAAUCGUUGGGAAAAUUCAAGAGGAAAAUUCUAGUGUCGAGGCGUCCACGAAAUUGGAUGAAAAAUGCAAUCAUCCGGCGUUGAAUGUUACAGGAACAAUAAAUCUAAUGGAUAUACCGAUCAGCGGUAUUCACGGUCGUAAAGGGCGAGUCAACAUGUCGACGGAACAGAUUGAAAAAUGGUUGAACGACAGCUCUAUGGCGCGUGAAAAGUCACGAGAAAAAUCGGAGCCCGAAACACCUACGAAUUUUCAUCAUUUCGACAUGCCGGCGACGGCGAGCAAGGUAAAAUCCGAAAGUAGUAGUAAUCACUUGUCGAUACCAACGAGAAUUCAACAUCUCGUACGCCCGGUCAAUGUGACGAUAUCGAAGUUGGUAGAAAAGUCAUUGGCUCGUGAACGAUCCAACAACAAUUGUAACAAAAUAAUCACCAAUAUCGUCGAACUCGAACGUUUUUCAAAUAUUACAAAACAGUUGAAUAUUCCAACGCCGAACAGGAACAAAAUAAACGCGGAUAUAAAAGAGAUAAUAAAGGGCCGGAAUGGUAAAGGAGGAACGAAGGAAGAUAAGUCAACGACGGGAGAGGAGAGCGACGGUGUUUCAAAAUCUGAUCAAAAUUCGGUCGACGGUUCGUCGCCGGAGAAAAAAACGACGCCGGAGAAAAAGCCAAUGUUUCAACAGCGAAAAACAUUUUUGUCAAAAGUUAAGGAACGGAAAACCACGAUUCCUAGUGCAAAUGCCUUUUCACCGGAAAACGAGAGUAGCGUUUAUGCUUUUGAGAGCGACACGGAAAUACCGAUAAAUACGCCAUUUCGUAGAAAAUUCAAGGAACAAACUAACAAGCAAAAUUUCGGAGAAUCGGAAAUACCAAGACCGCCGCCGGAAUUCGUUGAGAAUUCUUUGACUAAUAAAUCAAUUAACGAUGAUGAUUUGAGAAUUGACAAAUUCGUUGUUCCCAAAACUUUUGGAAAUUUGUCUCAGAUGCAAGUUUUGCCGUUGGAUAAAAUGUCAGCCGAAUGGAGCGCUAUCAAUUGCAAUGCCUCAAUCGCGGUACAGGUGAAUUUUGAUGAGCAGUCACGAGAAAUUCAGCCUUCCCAACAGCACCAACAGCAGCAGCAGCAGCAGCAGCAGCAGCAGCAGCAACAGCAACAAAAACAACAACAACAACAACAACAAGAUAAACAACAAGAGCAACAAGGACAAACAAGGGAUGGUAAAUUAUUAGGAAAAGAGGAGAAAUCGAUGGUACAAGAUAAAAAUGAGGACGCAGUUAUUGGGCAACAAAAGUCGACGGAAAUAUCGACGCAGACAGAAAGCACGAAUGAAAACGAGAACGAGAACGAUGGUCACGUUUUUUAUAUACCGUUGCAAACUGUCAGUAGAAACGGACCGAAUCUAGUUCAAGGUCAACAAUUGAUACAGGGAGUCGCUGUUAAAUUGGGCACUGAAGGUCCCAACGGUCCCAAUCAAAGAGUCUUGUUAAGAGCUCAAUUAGUCACGAAACCACCUAUAACCGUAGCUCGGUGUCCUCCUGUCGGUACCGUCCAACCGACAACUCGCAAUCCACCAAAUUCUUCUAGCUCUACCACUUCCGUUCUCGACCAUCCCUACGCCGUCCUUGAUCCUAUCCAUCAGCAACAGCAACCCUCCACUUCGGGCAAUUCUAACGCUUGUCUUCUUCAAACCAUUACGGAUUCCGUUACUUCUCAGACUCCAACUCCAUCGGGUUCCAGUCCAGCCAGCAGACUCGUUGCUUCUCAUCUCAAUGCCAAUGAAACAACUAUCGCUACUGCUACAAAAUCACCGAAAAGUGUCCGUGAAAGAAAACCUUCGGUCGAUUCGACCAAAACUGCCAAAAGAGUUUCGGCAAAAACACGACAAAAAAUGUCCGAAAUCUUAUCGCCUACGAACUCGACAAUAUUUCCCGGCUCGGGCAACUCGAUGAAAACGGAAGCACGGCUCGUUGAGGCACCGACCUUUCAUCCGACCGAAAAAGAUUUUCAGGAUCCCCUCGAGUAUAUCGAUAAAAUAAGAUCGAUCGCUGAGAAAUUUGGUAUUUGCCGAGUCGUACCACCUGCAAAUUUCAAGCCUGAAUGCAAAGUUUCGGACGACAUGCGUUUCACAGCGUACAAUCAAUACGUUCAUCGCAUGUUGCAUCGUUGGGGUCCGAAUGUCAAGGAAAUGAUGGCUAUUAAGAAAUAUCUUGCGACACAGAGUAUCACUCUUACUCAUCCUCCAUGGAUCGGUGGAAUGGAAGUGGAUUUGCCGCACUUAUACCAAACGGUGCAGAGUCUCGGUGGUUUGAAGGAAGUAAUUGAGAAGAAAAAAUGGCAAAAAGUUGCUGACGGUAUGAAAAUACCAAAAUCUGCGCAGGAUCGUGUCACCAAACUCGAUGAUAUUUAUUGCAAAUAUUUAUUACCAUAUGACACUUUAUCGCCGGAGGAACGAAGCAAUCUUUUCGACGACGUCGAGGAAGAUUGGAAAAAGAGAGAAACAAGGACUUUGCAACGGCUCGAUGCGCAAUCCACCGAUAACGAUGACGAGGAAGACGAUGAUAGUUCGGACGAGAUUGAAGAAUGCAUCAUUAAAGGACGAAACAUGCCAUUGAAUGCUUUUUAUCGGAUCGCACGAAAUACUCAACGAAUGUGGUUCGGUGAGAACCAACGACCGGGAAACGAAGCCGAGGGGGCUUCGGCCAUCGAAGUCGAAGCUGCUUUUUGGAAACACGUGGCCGAGAGGAGACGUCACGUUUGUGUUCAUGCAGCUAGCAUAGAUUCGAGCGGGCGAGGUUUUGGUUUUUCCGUGGCUAAAAACAGCCCUUUCGCAAGACAUCCGUGGAAUCUCAAAGUUCUUACCAAUAACGCUGGCUCGGUAUUACGAGCUUUGGGCCCCUUGAUGGGAGUUACCGUGCCAACCCUCCACGUGGGAAUGCUCUUCAGUGCUUGUUGUUGGUAUCGCGAUCCUCAUGGACUUCCCUGGAUCGAGUACCUUCACACGGGAGCCAAAAAAAUUUGGUAUGGAAUUCCGGACGAGCGCAACAAUCAUUUUCGAGAAGCUCUCUCCAAAAUGGUACCGCGUUAUUGUAAGAAGAAAACUAUAUGGCUGCCGUCGGACACCGCCAUGGUGCCGCCGGAAUUAUUAGUCAACAAUGGUGUACCCCUGUGCCGUACCGUCCAAGAGCCUGGACAAUUCAUCAUUGUUUUUCCAAAAGCCUUUACAUCGAGUAUCUGCACCGGUUAUGUCGUAUCCGAGAGCGUUUACUUCGCCCAGCCUGCCUGGCUCGAAAACGCCGAACAAGUAUUUAAAGAUUUACAGGACAGCUGUGAACCAUCGAUAUUCUCCUUCGAAAGACUCUUAUUCAGCAUCAUCAAUGAUUCUCGCUCUCAGUACGAUGUGUUGAAACAGAUUAUGCCAGUUGUGAUAAAAAUUCGUGAACGCGAACACGAGUACAGGAAACAAUUGGAGUACAUCGGUUUGGUGGACAAAGAAAAAUUACCACUGCCAGGUACGGGAAAAGGAAAGAAAGGGAAAAAAAUCAAGGAGGAAGAUGGUGACUUUGAGUGUGAGACUUGCCGGGCCAAUUUGUUCGUUUCUCUCGUAAAUAAUUCACAAGACGACAGCAUGUAUUGUCUACCGCACGCUCUCCAAAUGAUCGUACGGAAGAAGCAAGUACUGAAAAAUUGUACUCUCAUGUACACGUAUACGGAGGAUGAAUUGGAUGAUUUGAUACACAAGUUGGAAGAUAGAAUCGAAGCCAAGUCGAAGAAACCUAAUCAAAUCAGGCAAUCUAAAUAGUAAUUUACUCUUAUUAUACGGAUAUAUAAUUUAUUGGCAAAAAUUAUACGUCUUUUAUAGAUAUUUAUAGACUUUCGUGAAUUCUGAUGUGAAUUUGAAACAAGCAGAGUCUCGUCAGAAGUCUUACACCUCUUAAGGUGAUGGAGCAGUCGCUAUCUCGCCACCGUUGGAAAAAAAAAUGAAUACUAGAAAAUUAGUAAAAAAGAUGACAGCACCUCUCUUCUAUUCGUAUUCUAGAUUUUAUUGACUCGGUAUCGUUGUGUGGAUUUUUUUAUUCCUUCACUUCUCAAUCGCCGAUAAUUCAUAAAAUGUGAUAAACGAUGGAAGCAGAAUGUUAGAAUUGUAAUAGUCGAAUUGAAAGACGAUCGAUCGAGAAUGAAGAAAGAAGAGUAAAAAAAAAAAAUAAAAUAAAAUAAAAUAAGGUAUAAUAGCGCAUAAUGCCAAAUUUCAAUCGGUUUCUGUGCUUCUCACUAUUGGCCCGCGUCGUUGUCCUUCGGUGUUCAAAGAUCGAUAUUACCGAUUUAACCAAGUGCCAAAAAAUCCACUUUUUUCAAUGUUUUUUUUCUCUUCAUCAAUCAAUCGUUAUUGAUAACAAAAAAUUGAAGGUAAAUAAUUAGUAUAAAUGUCCGUAGUAGUAAAUUUAUUUGUUCAUAGAUUUCGAUUCUCCAAAAAUUUGUAAUAGCCUUUUUUUUCUCGUUACUCCUUCAUUAUACUCGAAGAUAUAUUUUACUCGCAAAUUUUACAAGACAAAUGUAUGAAAAGCCCAAAUAUUGAAAUAAACAUGUUUUCCCUUCGGUGAGCAAUAA